Molecule: transfer RNA, 67 nt
Filed under: Marmota monax (woodchuck)
Lineage: Eukaryota; Metazoa; Chordata; Mammalia; Rodentia; Sciuridae
Description: tRNA.Ala
Rfam family: tRNA
About the family: Transfer RNA (tRNA) molecules are approximately 80 nucleotides in length. Their secondary structure includes four short double-helical elements and three loops (D, anti-codon, and T loops).
Source: RNAcentral
GGUUGUAGCUCAGUGGUAGAGUGCUUGCCUAGCAUGUGUGAGGCACUGGGUUCAAUUCUCAGCACCA